This is a long non-coding RNA of Dipodomys spectabilis (banner-tailed kangaroo rat), 139 nucleotides long. RefSeq lists it as uncharacterized. NCBI's taxonomy places the organism in Eukaryota, Metazoa, Chordata, Mammalia, Rodentia, Heteromyidae. The transcript is spliced from 3 exons. The record is from RefSeq and is a predicted model, not a curated record.
AGGAUUGACCUAUCAGUGGAUCACAAUAACUCAAUUGCUAUGUACAUAUGACCAUAUAAGAUGACGGUAAGCAAAAUGAACUCCAAGAUAUGGAAACAGAAGGUUUUCCUUUAUUGUUGUCAUUUUUAAUGUACUGCAU